GUGGGGAAUAUUGGACAAUGGGCGAAAGCCUGAUCCAGCCAUGCCGCGUGAGUGAUGAAGGCCUUAGGGUUGUAAAGCUCUUUCAGUAGGGAAGAUAAUGACGGUACCUACAGAAGAAGCCCCGGCUAACUUCGUGCCAGCAGCCGCGGUAAUACGAAGGGGGCUAGCGUUGUUCGGAUUUACUGGGCGUAAAGCGCACGUAGGCGGAUUGGUCAGUUAGAGGUGAAAUCCUGGAGCUCAACUCCAGAACUGCCUUUAAUACUGCCAGUCUAGAGUCCAGAAGAGGUGAGUGGAACUCCGAGUGUAGAGGUGGAAUUCGUAGAUAUUAGGAAGAACACCAGUGGCGAAGGCGGCUCACUGGUCUGGUACUGACGCUGAGGUGCGAAAGCGUGGGGAGCAAACAGGAUUAGAAACCCGUGUAGUCC
This 425-nucleotide ribosomal RNA is filed under the name uncultured bacterium. RNAcentral describes it as "bacterial SSU rRNA". It matches the Rfam family "Bacterial small subunit ribosomal RNA", at positions 354 to 796 of the family's 1533-position model. The record is from RNAcentral.